This 218-nucleotide ribosomal RNA is filed under the name uncultured fungus. Its description in RNAcentral is "partial small subunit ribosomal RNA". The record is from RNAcentral. Lineage: Eukaryota; Fungi.
GGACAAGGCAUUCGGUCCGCUCUUAACCGAGUGUGUACCAGAAUGACUCGUUCAUCCUCGGGGAGAGCAUAUCUGGCAUUAAGUUGUCGGGUAUGGGAUCCUCGUCAUUUACUGUGAGCAAAAUAGAGUGUUCAAAGCAGGCUUAGGCCGUUGAAUACAUUAGCAUGGAAUAAUAAGAUAAGACCUUGGUCUAUUUUGUUGGUUUGCGUUCCAAGGUA